GCUGUGAUGGCCUAGUGGUUAAGGCGUUGGACUUGAAAUCCAACGGGGACUCCCCACACAGGUUCAAAUCCUGCUCACAGCG
Molecule: non-coding RNA, 82 nt
Organism: Sorex araneus (European shrew)
Lineage: Eukaryota; Metazoa; Chordata; Mammalia; Eulipotyphla; Soricidae
Source: the annotation of a RefSeq genome assembly